AAGACCUUGCGCUUUUGGAGCGGCCGAUGCCUGAUUAGCUUGUUGGUAAGGUAAAAGCUUACCAAGGCUUCGAUCAGUAGCUGGUCUGAGAGGACGACCAGCCACACUGGGACUGAGACACGGCCCAGACUCCUACGGGAGGCAGCAGUGGGGAAUUUUGGACAAUGGGGGCAACCCUGAUCCAGCCAUGCCGCGUGAGUGAAGAAGGCCUUCGGGUUGUAAAGCUCUUUCAGCCGGAACGAAACGGUUACGGAUAACACCCGUGACUACUGACGGUACCGGAAGAAGAAGCACCGGCUAACUACGUGCCAGCAGCCGCGGUAAUACGUAGGGUGCGAGCGUCAAUCGGAAUUACUGGGCGUAGAGCGUGCGCAGGUGGUUUUGUAAGUCAGAUGUGAAAGCCCCGGGCUCAACCUGGGAACU
RNAcentral lists this ribosomal RNA (423 nucleotides) under uncultured bacterium. RNAcentral describes it as "bacterial SSU rRNA". It matches the Rfam family "Bacterial small subunit ribosomal RNA", at positions 207 to 622 of the family's 1533-position model. The record is from RNAcentral.